RNAcentral lists this ribosomal RNA (985 nucleotides) under Klebsiella pneumoniae. RNAcentral's name for it is "bacterial SSU rRNA". It matches the Rfam family "Bacterial small subunit ribosomal RNA", at positions 1 to 977 of the family's 1533-position model. The record is from RNAcentral. RNAcentral also lists the same sequence under 2 other names. Lineage: Bacteria; Pseudomonadati; Pseudomonadota; Gammaproteobacteria; Enterobacterales; Enterobacteriaceae.
AAAUUGAAGAGUUUGAUCAUGGCUCAGAUUGAACGCUGGCGGCAGGCCUAACACAUGCAAGUCGAGCGGUAGCACAGAGAGCUUGCUCUCGGGUGACGAGCGGCGGACGGGUGAGUAAUGUCUGGGAAACUGCCUGAUGGAGGGGGAUAACUACUGGAAACGGUAGCUAAUACCGCAUAAUGUCGCAAGACCAAAGUGGGGGACCUUCGGGCCUCAUGCCAUCAGAUGUGCCCAGAUGGGAUUAGCUAGUAGGUGAGGUAACGGCUCACCUAGGCGACGAUCCCUAGCUGGUCUGAGAGGAUGACCAGCCACACUGGAACUGAGACACGGUCCAGACUCCUACGGGAGGCAGCAGUGGGGAAUAUUGCACAAUGGGCGCAAGCCUGAUGCAGCCAUGCCGCGUGUGUGAAGAAGGCCUUCGGGUUGUAAAGCACUUUCAGCGGGGAGGAAGGCGAUAAGGUUAAUAACCUUGUCGAUUGACGUUACCCGCAGAAGAAGCACCGGCUAACUCCGUGCCAGCAGCCGCGGUAAUACGGAGGGUGCAAGCGUUAAUCGGAAUUACUGGGCGUAAAGCGCACGCAGGCGGUCUGUCAAGUCGGAUGUGAAAUCCCCGGGCUCAACCUGGGAACUGCAUUCGAAACUGGCAGGCUAGAGUCUUGUAGAGGGGGGUAGAAUUCCAGGUGUAGCGGUGAAAUGCGUAGAGAUCUGGAGGAAUACCGGUGGCGAAGGCGGCCCCCUGGACAAAGACUGACGCUCAGGUGCGAAAGCGUGGGGAGCAAACAGGAUUAGAUACCCUGGUAGUCCACGCCGUAAACGAUGUCGAUUUGGAGGUUGUGCCCUUGAGGCGUGGCUUCCGGAGCUAACGCGUUAAAUCGACCGCCUGGGGAGUACGGCCGCAAGGUUAAAACUCAAAUGAAUUGACGGGGGCCCGCACAAGCGGUGGAGCAUGUGGUUUAAUUCGAUGCAACGCGAAGAACCUUACCUG